GAACCCGUGGCGCAGUGGUAGCGCGUGUGAUUCCAGUGCUUACGUAAUUGAAUAUCCACAAGGUCAUCCGUUCAAUCCGGGUCGGGUUCA
Non-coding RNA from Melanogaster broomeanus, 90 nucleotides. The record is from the annotation of a GenBank genome assembly. NCBI's taxonomy places the organism in Eukaryota, Fungi, Basidiomycota, Agaricomycetes, Boletales, Melanogastraceae.